AUGUGCUACUCUGUCUUGGGGCUCAGCGCCCUCUUGGACGCACAGGUUGGUGCGCUCUCCCUCUGCACCGGGGUUCUGAUGGCCGCGCUUUGUCUGGCAGCGCUAGAAAAUGGCAAGAAGGAAGAGCUCGGGCCACCCGCAAUGCCAGGCCGCUGGCCCUCCUCCCUCGAGCUCAAGGCGGCGAAGAGAUGGUUGAGAUGGUGUUGCAGCUUCGCAGCGGCGAUACAUGAAGGUGCAAGGCAGCAGCGACAUGUUCCUAGUACGCUAGAGGAUGAGCUCCUACUUUUUCUGAUGCUAGCUCCUUGA
This 306-nucleotide ribosomal RNA is filed under the name Triticum aestivum (bread wheat). RNAcentral's name for it is "partial small subunit ribosomal RNA". Lineage: Eukaryota; Viridiplantae; Streptophyta; Magnoliopsida; Poales; Poaceae. The record is from RNAcentral.